Molecule: long non-coding RNA, 674 nt
Filed under: Homo sapiens (human)
Lineage: Eukaryota; Metazoa; Chordata; Mammalia; Primates; Hominidae
Description: non-protein coding lnc-POTED-17:1
Source: RNAcentral
UCAUCAACAACUUUUGGAAUAUAAACAAAAGAUAUCUAAAAAUUCUCAAAAUAGUAAUCCAGAAGGAACAUCUGAAGGAACACCUGACGAGGCUGCACCCUUGGCGGAAAGAACACCUGACACGGCUGAAAGCUUGGUGGAAAGAACACCUGACGAAUAGGAUACAGUGAAUUCCUCUUCAAAGAUUUUAGCCUGUAAACAUCCUUUAAAAUUCAAGAGGGGGGAAGAUUAAGUACAAUGAGUUCUGAGUUCCUCAUCAAAGAACAAAUAUGUCAGUAUGUUCAGCUUCUCCGUUCUUUGUUCUCCGUUUUAAAGUUUAACUUCCUCGUUCGUUAUGCCUCCUUGCCCCUAGUUUCAUUAAACAACCCCCUUCUAGCCUCUAACACCUGCUUUGUCUUUAGUCAUUCUUAGUAACCUGCUCUGUCCUUAGUCAUCCUUAGACACCUGCUCUGUAACUGUCUUUCCCGCUGAAACUACUCACCCUGCCACUCCAGCUCAUACCCCUGCCCUCUUUGAAAUAGCCAAUCUGAAUUGGCUUAGAGUGUGCAGUCCAACCCUAUCCAAUAGGGAAAAGACACAACAGUAGGGACUAGCUGCGUUAGAAAUAAGAACACUUUCCCCUCCCUUGUCCGGUGUGAUCUUGCCUUUGCUCCAUCUGCAAGACCACUCUUCCA